GGCGAAAGGGAGAGUAACGCGUGGAUAUCUGCCCCCUGGUCCGGGAUAGCUGCGGGAAACUGCCGGUAAUACCGGAUAACAUCUCCGGAUCAAAGGUGUGAUUCCGCCGGGGGAUGAGUCCGCGUCCUAUUAGCUUGUUGGUGGGGUAAAGGCCUACCAAGGCUGAGAUGGGUACCGGGUGUGAGAGCAUGGCCCGGCUCACUGGGACUGAGACACUGCCCAGACACCUACGGGUGGCUGCAGUCGAGAAUCUUCGGCAAUGGGCGCAAGCCUGACCGAGCGACGCCGCGUGCGGGAUGAAGGCCCUCGGGUUGUAAACCGCUGUCAGAGGGGAGGAAAUGCAUAGGGGUUCUCUCCUAUGUUCGACCUAUCCUCAGAGGAAGUACGGGCUAAGUUCGUGCCAGCAGCCGCGGUAAUACGAACCGUACGAACGUUAUUCGGAAUCACUGGGCUUAAAGAGUGCGUAGGCGGCUUGGCAAGUUGGGUGUGAAAUCCCUCGGCUCAACCGAGGAACUGCGCUCAAAACUGCCUGGCUUGA
This 538-nucleotide ribosomal RNA is filed under the name uncultured Planctomycetota bacterium. RNAcentral's name for it is "bacterial SSU rRNA". It matches the Rfam family "Bacterial small subunit ribosomal RNA", at positions 97 to 645 of the family's 1533-position model. The record is from RNAcentral. Lineage: Bacteria; Pseudomonadati; Planctomycetota.